CGGCCAAUGCCGACAUCGAACUGAGCGUGGAGUCUAAGUGAGAGCAGCAUACCUUGAAGUUGGUGUUGUGGCACAUCUUGGUCGGCUUGUCCAAGUGUUUAAUCAGUAAUGAACAGCAUAAAAAAGACAUAUCUGCAUCCCGUCAUGAUGAUAAAGUAACCAACCUGUCCAGGAACAGAGAGGACUUACCCUGGUAGCAGACGCAGAGGAACAGAACAGAGAAGAGGAUCUUGGCACUGUCCAUGGUAGACACCAUGAUGGGUCACUGAUAACCUGAGCUUUACGGAGGUGUCUGGACUAACACUGAGUGAAGAUCUCUUCCAGAGAACAGAAGAAAUGAUCAGAUAAACCAGUGGCUCCAUCGACAGGAGAAUUUGGCACAUCUCCAGUGGGGGAGGGACCUUGGACCUUGUCUUCCAAUCAGAGUAUGUGAGCGGAGCUGGAGCGGAGUGAGGAGUGGUGCUGGAGCGGAGCAUGCCCAAUUUGACUGGAGCGCGGAGUGAGAUUCCCAA
This 512-nucleotide long non-coding RNA is filed under the name Salmo salar (Atlantic salmon). RNAcentral describes it as "lncRNA (ENSSSAG00000101885.1)". Lineage: Eukaryota; Metazoa; Chordata; Actinopteri; Salmoniformes; Salmonidae. The record is from RNAcentral.